UUAGAAGGGUAUAAUGGUCAAUUUGGGGAACUUUCCAAGCCCAUAAAUACCCCAAUUAUCAUAUUUCUGUAUUACAGCGAGCCCUAACCCUAGAAUUCGACCAUGUCUAGCAAGCAAGGAGGCAAAGCUAAGCCCCUGAAGCAGCCUAAGGCUGAGAAGAAGGAAUACGACGAGACGGACAUGGCUAACAUUCAAAAGAAGAAGGAAGAAGAGAAGGCUCUUAAGGAGCUAAGGGCAAAGGCUCAGCAGAAAGGAUCAUUUGGAGGUUCUGGCUUGAAGAAAAGUGGCAAGAAAUGAGACCUGAUUUUUGUGUUGAAUUGGAUUGGUACCUUUCGAACGUGCCAUCUUUUUGCUGAUUGAUGUUUGGUAACCUGUAAACUUUGCAGGAUUCUAUUAUGUAAUAUUGAUUGCAUAUGGCAAUGUCAUUUUGCCUUGAAUGUGGAUUUCUAAAAAAUCGUGUUUGCUUUUA
This is a long non-coding RNA of Salvia hispanica, 469 nucleotides long. RefSeq lists it as uncharacterized. The record is from RefSeq and is a predicted model, not a curated record. NCBI's taxonomy places the organism in Eukaryota, Viridiplantae, Streptophyta, Magnoliopsida, Lamiales, Lamiaceae.